RNAcentral lists this transfer RNA (78 nucleotides) under Brevundimonas phage vB_BgoS-Bajun. RNAcentral describes it as "tRNA-Glu". It matches the Rfam family "tRNA". From Rfam's summary of the family: Transfer RNA (tRNA) molecules are approximately 80 nucleotides in length. Their secondary structure includes four short double-helical elements and three loops (D, anti-codon, and T loops). Lineage: Duplodnaviria; Heunggongvirae; Uroviricota; Caudoviricetes. The record is from RNAcentral.
GGAGCCGUCUUCUAAAUGGACUAGGAAAACAGCCUUUCAAGCUGCUGAAUGCGGGUUCGAUCCCCGUCGGCUCUACCA